This 433-nucleotide ribosomal RNA is filed under the name uncultured bacterium. RNAcentral's name for it is "partial 16S ribosomal RNA". It matches the Rfam family "Bacterial small subunit ribosomal RNA", at positions 29 to 507 of the family's 1533-position model. The record is from RNAcentral.
AACGAACGCUGGCGGCAGGCCUAACACAUGCAAGUCGAGCGAGGACUUCGGUCCUAGCGGCGGACGGGUGAGUAACGCGUGGGAACGUGCCCUUUGCUUCGGAAUAGCCCUGGGAAACUGGGAGUAAUACCGGAUGAGCCCUUUGGGGGAAAGAUUUAUCGGCGAAGGAUCGGCCCGCGUUGGAUUAGGUAGUUGGUGGGGUAAUGGCCUACCAAGCCGACGAUCCAUAGCUGGUUUGAGAGGAUGAUCAGCCACACUGGGACUGAGACACGGCCGAGACUCCUACGGGAGGAAGCAGUGGGGAAUAUUAGAAAAUGGGGGAAAGCCUGAUCUAGCCAUGACGGGUGAGAGAUGAAGGCCUUAGGGUUGUAAAGCUCUUUCAGCUGGGAAGAUAAUGACGGUAACAGCAGAAGAAGCCACGGCUAACUCCGUG